RNAcentral lists this ribosomal RNA (483 nucleotides) under uncultured bacterium. RNAcentral describes it as "bacterial SSU rRNA". It matches the Rfam family "Bacterial small subunit ribosomal RNA", at positions 8 to 489 of the family's 1533-position model. The record is from RNAcentral.
AGAGUUUGAUCAUGGCUCAGGACGAACGCUGGCGGCGUGCCUAACACAUGCAAGUCGAACGAAGCUUGAUUUCUGAUUUUUUCGGAAUGACGAAUGAUAUGACUGAGUGGCGGACGGGUGAGUAACGCGUGAGCAACCUGCCCUUCGGAACGGGAUAGUGUCUGGAAACGGACAGUAAUACCGUAUAACAUAUAUUGAUCGCAUGGUUGAUAUAUCAAAACUGAGGUGCCGAAGGAUGGGCUCGCGUCUGAUUAGAUAGUUGGUGGGGUAACGGCCUACCAAGUCGACGAUCAGUAGCCGGACUGAGAGGUUGAACGGCCACAUUGGGACUGAGACACGGCCCAGACUCCUACGGGAGGCAGCAGUGGGGAAUAUUGCACAAUGGGGGAAACCCUGAUGCAGCAACGCCGCGUGAAGGAAGACGGUUUUCGGAUUGUAAACUUCUGUUCUUAGUGAAGAAUAAUGACGGUAGCUAAGGAGCAA